UGGCGGCAGGCUUAACACAUGCAAGUCGAGCGGGCAUAGCAAUAUGUCAGCGGCAGACGGGUGAGUAACGCGUGGGAACGUACCUUUUGGUUCGGAACAACUGAGGGAAACUUCAGCUAAUACCGGAUAAGCCCUUACGGGGAAAGAUUUAUCGCCGAAAGAUCGGCCCGCGUCUGAUUAGCUAGUUGGUGAGGUAAUGGCUCACCAAGGCGACGAUCAGUAGCUGGUCUGAGAGGAUGAUCAGCCACAUUGGGACUGAGACACGGCCCAAACUCCUACGGGAGGCAGCAGUGGGGAAUAUUGGACAAUGGGCGCAAGCCUGAUCCAGCCAUGCCGCGUGAGUGAUGAAGGCCCUAGGGUUGUAAAGCUCUUUUGUGCGGGAAGAUAAUGACGGUACCGCAAGAAUAAGCCCCGGCUAACUUCGUGCCAGCAGCCGCGGUAAUACGAAGGGGGCUAGCGUUGCUCGGAAUCACUGGGCGUAAAGGGUGCGUAGGCGGGUCUUUAAGUCAGGGGUGAAAUCCUGGAGCUCAACUCCAGAACUGCCUUUGAUACUGAAGAUCUUGAGUUCGGGAGAGGUGAGUGGAACUGCGAGUGUAGAGGUGAAAUUCGUANAUAUUCGCAGGAACACCAGUGGCGAAGGCGGCUCACUGGCCCGAUACUGACGCUGAAGCACGAAAGCGUGGGGAGCAAACAGGAUUANAUACCCUGGUANUCCACGCCGUAAACGAUGAAUGCCANCCGUUAGUGGUUUUACUCACUAGUGGCGCAGCUAACGCUUUAAGCAUUCCGCCUGGGGAGUACGGUCGCAAGAUUAAAACUCAAAGGAAUUGACGGGGGCCCGCACAAGCGGUGGAGCAUGUGGUUUAAUUCGACGCAACGCGCAGAACCUUACCAGCCCUUGACAUCCCGGUCGCGGACUCCAGAGACGGAGUUUUUCAGUUCGGCUGGACCGGAGACAGGUGCUGCAUGGCUGUCGUCAGCUCGUGUCGUGAGAUGUUGGGUUAAGUCUCGCAACGAGCGCAACCCCCGUCCUUAGUUGCUACCAUUUAGUUGAGCACUCUAAGGAGACUGCCGGUGAUAAGCCGCGAGGAAGGUGGGGAUGACGUCAAGUCCUCAUGGCCCUUACGGGCUGGGCUACACACGUGCUACAAUGGCGGUGACAAUGGGAUGCUAAGGGGCGACCCUUCGCAAAUCUCAAAAAGCCGUCUCAGUUCGGAUUGGGCUCUGCAACUCGAGCCCAUGAAGUUGGAAUCGCUAGUAAUCGUGGAUCAGCACGCCACGGUGAAUACGUUCCCGGGCCUUGUACACACCGCCCGUCACACCAUGGGAGUUGGUUUUACCUGAAGACGGUGCGCUAACCGAAAGGGGGCAGCCGGCCACGGUAGGGUCAGCGACUGGGGUGAAGUCGUAACAAGGUAUCCAAGG
Molecule: ribosomal RNA, 1425 nt
Filed under: uncultured Bradyrhizobium sp.
Lineage: Bacteria; Pseudomonadati; Pseudomonadota; Alphaproteobacteria; Hyphomicrobiales; Nitrobacteraceae
Description: bacterial SSU rRNA
Rfam family: Bacterial small subunit ribosomal RNA
Source: RNAcentral